Molecule: small nucleolar RNA, 83 nt
Organism: Labrus bergylta (ballan wrasse)
Lineage: Eukaryota; Metazoa; Chordata; Actinopteri; Labriformes; Labridae
Product: small nucleolar RNA SNORD100
Source: Ensembl
UGUAUCGAUGAUGAUAAUUUGGCUCCCUCUACUGAAUACUAUGAAGAGACUGCCAUUGUUACCCAAUUUUUGUCUGAGAUACA